AAGUCGUAACAAGGUAACCGUAGGUGAACCUGCGGUUGGAUCAUUAACAAAUAAUUUAGGCCCCUGGCUGCCUCAAAAGGGCGAAGGGGGAAAACCUAAACAUUUGUGUGCACCAUAUCUGUCCUUGGCAGUUCGAGUGUCCUGGGUCGCGUAACUGCCUCAGGUACCUACCGAGGCUUUCCUCUCGGGGUUUGCCAAAGUUGGGCUGCCGCUUCUAGAACAAACCUUUUGUAAAUUAUUUUUGCCUGAAUUUGUUUGAUCUUUAUGAUUGAAUUUAAAUACAACUUUUGACAACGGAUCUCUUGGCUCUC
This 311-nucleotide unclassified non-coding RNA is filed under the name Rhizophlyctis rosea. RNAcentral describes it as "partial internal transcribed spacer region". The stretch from base 1 to 46 matches the Rfam family "Eukaryotic small subunit ribosomal RNA", at positions 1786 to 1831 of the family's 1831-position model. The record is from RNAcentral. Lineage: Eukaryota; Fungi; Chytridiomycota; Chytridiomycetes; Rhizophlyctidales; Rhizophlyctidaceae.